UGCCAAUGAUGAAUGAAUUGGUGAAAUAGUAAUGAAUAAUCUAUCAUGAUUAUGCAAUCACUACUGCCUUCCUUCUGAGGUC
This is a small nucleolar RNA of Vigna unguiculata (cowpea), 82 nucleotides long. RefSeq annotates it as small nucleolar RNA U83. NCBI's taxonomy places the organism in Eukaryota, Viridiplantae, Streptophyta, Magnoliopsida, Fabales, Fabaceae. The record is from RefSeq and is a predicted model, not a curated record.